This 198-nucleotide ribosomal RNA is filed under the name uncultured bacterium. Its description in RNAcentral is "partial 16S ribosomal RNA". It matches the Rfam family "Bacterial small subunit ribosomal RNA", at positions 328 to 539 of the family's 1533-position model. The record is from RNAcentral.
ACGCUCGACACCUACGGGAGACAGCAGUGGGGAAUAUUGCACAAUGGAGGAAACUCUGAUGCAGCGAUGCCGCGUGAGGGAAGAAGGUUUUCGGAUUGUAAACCUCUGUCUUUGGGGACGAUAAUGACGGUACCCAAGGAGGAAGCUCCGGCUAACUACGUGCCAGCAGCCGUGGUAAUCUGAGCGGGCUGGCAAGGC